UGGCUGCACUGGACUUUAUCUUACCUA
RNAcentral lists this non-coding RNA (27 nucleotides) under Rattus norvegicus (Norway rat). Lineage: Eukaryota; Metazoa; Chordata; Mammalia; Rodentia; Muridae. The record is from RNAcentral.